UAAUGAGUUUUGUGCGCUUUAUUUAUAUACCAGAGUAAUGAGUUUUGUGCGCUUUAUUUAUAUACCAGAGUAAUGAGUUUUGUGUUGUUAUCUGUGGUAAUCAAACAUGCACUACAGAUGCAGUGGAUAGGGAUUAGGUUUAAACAGCACUGAAGUUUUCCUUUUGGUAUAUUUACAUACAAGUAGAUGAGAUUGAGAUUUUUUAGCUGUCAGUAUUUGAUAUCACUAGUGAUGUGAAUUGACAUGUUAAUUGUGCAAAAUAAGCAGCCUUCGUCCAGUAAGGGGAUCUAUAAUGUACACAAAUUUUUGUUAUUUCGUUUCAUGUUGCUAUAAUGUAUUGUGCAGUGUCAGUAAUAGAAACCAUCUUUAAUAAAGAGGUCAGAUCAAUAAAAUGUAUUUAUUAAAAUUAAAUAAUGAGCACUUUUAAAACUUAAAACUCAAGUCUAAAUUGUUGAAUCUACUGUAAGUCUUCAUAAAUACUAAUAAAUACUUAAAUACUCAUAUGGUAUUAUUCAGUGUCAAAUAUAUAUUUUCAAUAGUUUCAAUAUUUUCAAUUCUCAAUAGUUGUUGAAUAUCCUCCAAGUAUAUUAACACCUCUUAACACCUCUGUUAAGGCAAUAUUGUAAAUUUUGGGUUUUUGCAUCAUCGCUGUCAUGUUUUUUUUUUCCUUCCUCAUUUGGCAUCCACUCCUGUAAGACGUAAUCAGCUGUUUUUUUUUUUUUUUUCAUGUUUCAGGUAACAUAUGCAAUUCCUGAGAGCAGCUGAACGGGUUCCGGCGGAGCUGGAGGGGGCGAGGGACAAAGGCCGAGCUGUGGAUUGUGUUGCUGGACGGUGAAUGGAGCGGCGCUACGAGCACGGUGCAGUGUUCUGAGGCCAUGCCCCCUACCUGAAUUUGCUGGUAUGCAGUAACACCAAAGAGGAAGAAAGAAAGUGAUGGUACUACAUUUGAGCUUCAUAGGAACCUGAUGUGGACGCCGUUAGGGAGACGUUCUGGAAUGGGUUGGUGGCAGGUCAAGACGGGGCACACUGACACAGCCAGAAAGAUCUCAGGUUCGUGUGGAAGACCCUUGGGCCAGAGGAUAGACCACCUGGACCCACAACUCCUUCAAUCCCAUCAUCACAAUCGUGUUGUUGAUUAAAAAUGAAUUAAUUUCCAUUUCAUAAUAUAUGAACAUGUGGCUUAUUCUAAUAUCUUAUCGUUUCUUUAGCAGAUCAUUCACAGGAAAUUGUAUAGCGGAUGCUCCACAUAGUCUAAGGCUAACAGUAAACUGUUUUUAAAUAAUGUGUUCUUUAUUUAAUAUGUAUAAUCAUUGACAUGGUGAAGUUUUCUGUAAGGUGAUGGUUAAUAAACAUUUGUGGAAGGAGUCUCCAGUUUCAGAGCUUUGUGAUAGUCAGUGGGUUUUUCCACCACAAGAGAGUCUUUCUGCUUUCUUUCAACAUGACAACCUGUGUUUUUUUUUUAUAUAUAUAUAUUUUUACUUUUUUCUUCUUAAUUUCAAGAGAGUGAAAAAAAGUCUGGUGUGGGAACGACUAUUUAUAGUUGCAAUAACAUAAGUGAUAACUGGAACAAACUUGUCUUAUGAAUGUUUCACAACAUUAAAUGUACCUAUAAACGUUUAACAUAUUUGAAAAAGCAUCCCUUUUGUGCCUUGUAUACUUAAUUUAAGGUAAUUAAUCAAGGCUUUUAUUGUAGUGUCAUUCUUUAUUUGAGUUAAUUAGCUGCAUUAGACUGAUGGACCUACCUUUUCCAUGAAACAGAAUUGGUUAUUAUAUGCACUGUCUGGCCAAAAGUAUGUGGACACCUGACAAUCACAUCUAUAUGAGCUUGUUGGACAUCCCAUUCCAAAACCAUGGGCCCCCUUUUACAGCUUAUACAGCCUCCAUUCUUUUGGGAAAGCUUUCUACAAGAUUUUGAAGUGUGUCUAUGGGAAUGUGUGCCCAUUCAGUCAAAAGAGCAUUCGUGAGAUCAGGCACUGAUGGCCCGCAAUUGGGUUGAAACCAGGGCUCUGUGCAGGCCAUUGGAGUUCCUUCACACCAAACUCAUCAAACCAUAUCUUUAUGAACCAUGCUUUGUGCACAGGGGCACAGCCCAGUAAAGGAUCAGUAAAGGGCCUUCUUUCCCCAACCUGUUGCCACAAAGCUGGAAGCAAACAAUUGUCUAAAAUGUCUAUGUAUGCUGUAUCAUUAACAUUACCUUUCACUGUAUCUGAGACCAAACCCUGGAAAACAGCCCCAGACCAUUAUCCCUCCUCCACCAAACUUUACUGUUGGCACUAUGCAUUCCAGUAGGUGGCGUUCUCCUGGCACUCGCCAA
Pangasianodon hypophthalmus (striped catfish) is the source of this 2314-nucleotide long non-coding RNA. RefSeq lists it as uncharacterized. Lineage: Eukaryota; Metazoa; Chordata; Actinopteri; Siluriformes; Pangasiidae. The transcript is spliced from 3 exons. The record is from RefSeq and is a predicted model, not a curated record.